AAGGAUCUCUUCUGGAGAUUACCUCUCUUGGUGUUUGGUGGUGAGCUCAGCUGAAGGUUUCAAGAUUCUUCUCACAGUUCCAGCCUCCCCGCUCCUCCGCUCCUGUUAUAAUCAGUUUUUAGCAGUGGCUCAUAACCCUGAUUAUUUCCCCAGUACUGACGUGGCAAUAGAAGAACACUGAGACCAUGAAGAAGGGUCUUCCUGUGUUCAACUCCAGUGCUUGCUCCUACAGCAAUCUGGAGUGGCAGCAGCAAGUCCAGCUCAACAUCUUGGUGAGGAAAGACUCUGAAGAGAUCACAGGUGCCACUGUGACCAGGCAUUUCUGAACACGUGCAAAGAAUGGGUUUCACUUAUCAUGCUGGUAGUUCAUCAGGGAGAUUACAAAAGGCUCGUCCUUGACAGAGAGCCUAUUCUGCUGCCAAAUUUUAAGUCUUUCAUCCACAUCAUUAAAUACACAGCAGCUUCUGAACAAAAUGAUUAAGUACUUUAAGCAGGAUCACAACCAUUUAAAAUAAAUGUAUUCAAAAGAUAGCACCACUAAACACCCUGACUUUAUCAGAUAUUCUUGACAUGAGAUCACCUGACUGAAUCUUAACAUGGGAGAAAAUUAACUUUUACACCAACUGGUUAUGUUCCUAUCAGUUGUAUAGACACGUAACGUAACAUUCACUCUUACAAGGAAAUUAUUUACUUGGGAAAUGAAAGAGUGCUUACUUUUGGUAGCCUGAUGAAUGAUACCUUAUGUGAUAUUUUCUGUUAGAGUCUCUCUAAUGACCUGUAAACUUGUUAAAUGAUUUCAAAUAAAUUUAAAGGAAGGA
Long non-coding RNA from Lagopus muta (rock ptarmigan), 818 nucleotides. RefSeq lists it as uncharacterized. Lineage: Eukaryota; Metazoa; Chordata; Aves; Galliformes; Phasianidae. The record is from RefSeq and is a predicted model, not a curated record. The transcript has 3 exons.